Molecule: long non-coding RNA, 1962 nt
Organism: Struthio camelus australis
Lineage: Eukaryota; Metazoa; Chordata; Aves; Struthioniformes; Struthionidae
Source: Ensembl
AUAAGGUUCAAUCCGUUUUGCUGGUUGGCUUCAAAUUUAGCUCCUCAGAAGCCCUAACUUAUCUAUUCUUUUUAUCUUGGCCUUGGCAUCUAUUCAGUACAGUAAUCCAUGCAUCUAAUCUUUUUUUUUUUCCUCCUCCCCUCUCAGGUUUAGCUGGUGGAUCACAUUGUGAAAUCUGCAGCUGUGAAAGGCCUUCCAUUUAUUGCACCCUUCAAAACGAAAUAUUAGCAUGGGAGGCUAAGCUGGGAAUUACGGUGUAGUGUCUUCAAGUUCUGGUUCACAAGUACCUCCGUGACAGUACAAGGAGAGCUGUCAAUAAGGAAUGGAGGCUAAUAACGAAGGAGUCAGUGAAGGAGACCAAUGCCAUGAGGGUUAUCUUGCAGCCCCAGAUGCUGGAUAAGUUGAAGGAGGCAGACUCGCUUUUGGAUGACAUUCAGGAAGGCCUUGAAUGAUUAUUUGGCGAAGAAAAGGCUAUUCUUUCCAAGGUAAACAGUCCAUUUCAUCUGUCUGUUGUAGGUGUUGGUUUAAAAUAUGUUUAUAUAAAUACCUAUAAAUUUCUUUUUUUCUUUUUUCUUCUUUUAUUUUUUUGAUCAUUGUUUAGGUUUUUGUCUUGAUGCAACAAAGAUCGCUCAGGAAUCCUUUUUGACACAAAGGAUCCACUCCACGUCCAACCACACCUAAAGAAAUGCUUUGAAGGAGUUGCCAAGCUCACUUUUAAUCAUGAGAAAGAAAUUACCCACAUGGAGUCAGCAGAAAAUGAAAAAGUAGAGCUCGUGCUGCGAAUAAUUCCAGCAAGUGCCAAGGGGCUAGUUGAGAAAUGGCUUCAUGAGUGUAUGAUCAUCCAGCAAGGAUGCAAACCUGGAACAGGCGGAAAUCUAUCAAUCAAUCAGCUUAGUCCUCUGCUAGAGAUUUUUGGUGCUAUCAUCAGCGGGGCUUGGCUCAGAAACCAGACCUGCAAAUGAAAUCAAGCUGAAGCUUUUUAGGAAAUCUGUCAGAGUGGAACCCAUACUUCAUUGAAAUCAAAACUACUAUCUACUUCACAAAGAUAAGUCUUCAUCUCAGAUGAUUAGGCUGAAUUUAUGACUCCUGCGGGUUGUGCAUGAUUUUUGAAUGCGCACAUGCACGUGUGAUUUUUGAACGCUCUGAGCUGAUGCUGUGUUCGUAGGUCCUUUAAAACAUUUCCUUCAGUUUUUCAGCUAGCCAGAAGAAAGAAUUUGCCCUUCAAAACAGAAUGCGAGGAAAUGUGCUACCCACAGAUCUUGACCCCAGCUUCAUAUCGCUCUCAUUUUAUAUAGCUAUGGGGCAACUGUUGCAAAUGGCAGUGGAGUUAUCUUCCCUUCCACAGGCUCGGAGGCUAGACACUCUUCUUUUAACUGGAAGAAGGUUUUAUGGCUCUGUAGUCCAGCAAGUCUGCUGAGCUCCUGUGCCUUUCCUCUUAAUUUCUUAGGACAGCUUUGCAAGUGGAAUUUGUAAUUGUAUCUGACUGUAUUUUGGUAUGUGAGACUCUGGUAAUUCCAUGGCUUUUGAACAGCUAGUGUCAAAACUGAUAUGCAGGAACAAUUAAUAUAGAUUUGAUACAUUGGCAUUAUGUAGCAUACCAAGCAUAACUGAUUUUUAGAGUUAUAGUGUAUUAUUCUUCUUAGCUGCUGCAUGUCUCUCCAUAAAUGAACAUGUAGGCACUAGACUCCAAAGGGAUCUAUAUUUUUUUAUAUACAUAUGUAUUUAUAUCAAGGUGCAUUUUUCUUCAUUCCUAUAUAUUUCCAUCAGUUCCAUCCACAUAUUUUCCAGGUAGCUUCAGAUUAUAAUGACUUCAAAAUUCUAUUUUAUUUUUAUUGAACUGAUUAGAGAAUGUGCAAAAUCUGGAAAAGGUACUACAUUGAGAUAUCGAUUGUUUCUUAUAUGUAACUAUAUAAAUGCAAGUAUCCAAGAAGUCACUACAGAUUGUAAUAACAUUAUAAUAGC